AACGCUUGAGGGCUGGAGGACGCAUGUUCAGUCAAAUUAGACCUGAUAAGCAGAAAAUGGAGUUUAGGCUUUAAUAUUAUACGCCUCUACUGUUAAUCAGUUCAGACUUCAGAGGCUCUGUCUGCGCGCUUCCAUGGCUUCCGUGUCCCUCUCUUCUCUGUGCCUGACGCAGAACCCUAAUUCUAUCAGUUUUAGCUCCAUAGCUUCCGAUCAUGUGAGGUUUGGUUCACCUACUAUUGAAUUCGGCUCCGUCAAGAAGUAUCGGAGAGAUAGAGCUGUCGUCUGCAGAGCUUCCUCGGUUGUCUUUCGCAACCUCGAUGCCGAUGACUUUCGGCACCCUCUCGACAAACAGAACACGCUGAUUUUGAGGGCGAUUCCAGGAUUGAAUGAGCUUGGAAAGAUUCUUCUAGGAUCCGUUGCAGAGCAAGUCAUGCUUCUGGAGAAUAUUGGAACAUCCCUUCUUGUUUCUAAAGAUCAGCUUUCUGGCCUACAUCAAUUGAUGGUUGAGGCCGCGGAAAUCCUCAAUAUUGAUGCUCCUGAUCUAUAUGUUCGUCAAAGUCCUGUACCAAAUGCAUAUACCUUAGCAAUAAGUGGUAAAAAGCCAUUUGUUGUUGUUCAUACUAGCCUUGUGGAGCUUUUGACUCGAGAAGAGUUACAGGCUGUUUUGGCUCAUGAGUUGGGUCAUCUCAAAUGCGACCAUGGUGUAUGGCUGACAUUUGCAAAUAUUCUUACCCUUGGAGCUUAUACCAUACCUGGGCUUGGUGGGAUGAUUGCUCAGAGUUUAGAAGAACAGUUAUUUCGUUGGCUUCGAGCAGCAGAGCUAACUUGUGAUCGUGCAGCCCUUCUUGUUGCACAAGACCCAAAGGUGGUCAUCUCUGUUCUAAUGAAAUUAGCUGGGGGCUGCCCUUCUCUGGCUGAUCAACUAAAUGUGGAUGCAUUUUUGGAACAAGCUCGCUCCUAUGACAAAGCUUCUUCAAGCCCAGUAGGGUGGUAUAUAAGAAAUGCUCAAACGAGGCAACUUUCACAUCCUCUGCCCGUUCUACGUGCUCGUGAAAUUGAUGAAUGGUCAAGAAGUCAAGACUACACAACUCUUCUGAAACAUGCAACACAGAUCACUGGUGCAAAGAAAGUUUUAACAACACCAGGAAGAUAGUCAAAAUCCAAAGCACUGUGAAAAGAAGAAAAAUCAUUGCUCUUUAUCCAUGGUCUUAUGGAACAAAGAAUAGGCAGCCCUGCGUCUCACGGCAAAGAGCUACAGAGAUAAAGAGGAUAUGCUAAGAGUUUUUUCUGCUGUAAAAGCCUUGCUGUAAGUAAAUUCUGCAGAUUGAGGAUGCACGGGUCGUAACUCAUAAGUUGAGUACUUUGGCUUGUCAAUCUUGUAUUACAAAUUUAUUUGGUAAUUAAACUGUAUAUAUUGCAUUACAAAUUUAUAUUUUAUAGAGUUAUUUGGCA
RNA transcript from Prunus persica (peach), 1452 nucleotides. It is a transcript of the gene named protease HtpX homolog, with no coding region annotated. NCBI's taxonomy places the organism in Eukaryota, Viridiplantae, Streptophyta, Magnoliopsida, Rosales, Rosaceae. The record is from RefSeq and is a predicted model, not a curated record. The transcript is spliced from 10 exons.